GUGCCAGCCGCCGCGGUAAUACAGAGGUCCCGAGCGUUGUUCGGAUUCACUGGGCGUAAAGGGUGCGUAGGUGGCUUGGUAAGUUUGAUGUGAAAGCUCAGGGCUCAACCCUGAAAUGGCAUUGAAUACUAUUGAGCUGGAGGUUUGGAGGGGGGACUGGAAUUCUUGGUGUAGCAGUGAAAUGCGUAGAUAUCAAGAGGAACACCAGUGGCGAAGGCGAGUCCCUGGACAACACCUGACACUGAGGCACGAAAGCCGGGGGAGCAAACAGGAUUAGAUACCCUAGUAGUCC
RNAcentral lists this ribosomal RNA (292 nucleotides) under uncultured bacterium. RNAcentral describes it as "partial 16S ribosomal RNA". It matches the Rfam family "Bacterial small subunit ribosomal RNA", at positions 505 to 796 of the family's 1533-position model. The record is from RNAcentral.